Molecule: long non-coding RNA, 2656 nt
Filed under: Coffea arabica (coffee)
Lineage: Eukaryota; Viridiplantae; Streptophyta; Magnoliopsida; Gentianales; Rubiaceae
Description: long non-coding RNA (CARA_LNC007545)
Source: RNAcentral
CAGAGUAGAUAGCUUUCCAGGGAAGACUUUGAAGUGGCAAGAGAUUGCAAUGUACUUCAAUAGCAAGAGGUAAAAGAAUUCAGCUGGGAAACGACUAAAAAUGAUGGAUCCAAUGUCUAAAACUUUCAAUAGUUUAAAUGCCUUAGGGAUGAAUGAGAUAUGCUCUUGAGGUAACUGAAUUUGUUCCUUGGCAAAGCUCAGAAAUGAUCGAACAUAAUCACCGGUAGGUUUUACUUUAAUAUGCUCUAGGUUAUGGGGAUGAAUGCAAAGGCGACGGGCAUUGUGAGAAGAAGAGUAAGGUGCAGAGGUAGAUUCAUCAAACCUUUUUAUUUCUCGGAAAAUAUUUUCUUCCACAGCCUGUUUCUUGCAAAAAUCUUGCAACAUGUUGUUCAUACGACAUGUUUUAAUUCGGCCAUCUGAUCUCUUCUGCCCGAUCAUCACUAAGCUCCGAUCGACCAAUUCCUGUAGGUAAAACUCUGCCACAUCCUCCAUGUUCAUGAAUCUUUGGUGCUCUAUGAACCCUUCAGAAAUCCACAAGCGGAUUAACUUCCAUGCUGGGAUUUCAAAGUAUUCAGGAAAAACCCCAAAAUAGAGAAAGCAUGGCUUCAAGUUGUAGGGCAAGUGGUUGUAACUCCUCCUAAUCACAUCAUUGCCUAGUUCAUCAUUCUUGGCAACAUAAUCAUGCACAUUUUCAGCCACACUCAUCCACCAAUGUGUAGCUUUGCUGUUAUUCCGGAGUAUCCCAGCAACUACUACAAUUGCUAGAGGUAAUCCAGCGCAUCUAUCCAGGAUCUUGGCCUCGUAUGCCUGUAGUUCUUCGGGGCAAUUAUUCCCAUCAAAAACUUUAUAUCGGAGCAGCUCCCUACUUUCUUCUGGUGACAGGAAUCCCAAGUAAUAGGGUUCAUUUUUUGUAUUGGCAUAAUGAGCUACAGCUACAUUUCGAGUAGUUAUUAACACUCUGCUACCCUUCUUGUUGUCAGGAAAAGCAGACUUCAAUUUGUCCCAUGCAUCAUUGGACCAUAGAUCAUCUAUCACGAUCAAAUACUUAUAUUUUAGACGCUGUCGCACUUCAUCAGCUAAUGCAUCAUCUGACAUCCUAUUCAUUGCUUCAUCGAUACGAGUAAAUGAAGUGAGAAUACUCAGGAAGACAUCUUUUCUCUCCCAAUCUUGAGAAACAUGAACGAAUACUUUUGUAAAGAAUUCAUAGUCAAUCAUUGGGUCACUAAGGACCUUUCUGGCUAAUGUUGUUUUGCCGAUCCCAGGCAUCCCAACGAUUGAGAUUACCUCCAAUUGGUCUGAUUGUCGCUGCGAUCUACCUGUGAGAAGUUCGAUUACAUCCUUGGCCGAAUCCACGAAGCCAAUCACUUUGUCUGCCCCGAACAAAGGAGUCUGUUGCCAACAGACAGAAAAUUAUAAGACAUUGAAAGCUGAAAGCACAGAAGAAAAUGACCAACGAUAAAAAACUAUACAGCAAACUAGGGACUCACAAGUGCAUUUUCAAGAAAUGGGAAACUAAGUCUAGUUAUAAAAAAAUUCUUGGCAAUUUUGACAUGCUACACCCAUGUCAGUGGUCAUAAACCAGCAAGCUGACACAUAAGUUGCAAAACUGCUGGUAAAUCAUAAAAGUUUUCAAUAGCCAAAAUCACCUAACUCUAUCAUACAACACAUUCCUGCUGGGCUGUUGAACCCUUUCUCCUAAAUAAAGUAGUGAAUGAUGCACCAAAAGGGAUGCAUCCUAAAACGUCGACCAAAUGUAAUGUUUUAGUCCCAUUAUUUCUUUGUUCUUAUGUAAUACAGAAACCAUAUAAUGUAAGGCAUGGUCCGUCAAUGUCUACUUAGACAAAAUUUAUACCAGGAAUUAUAUGUUGACACCAAUGAAAGAUAAAAUUGAGUUUAAGACGAUGAUUUGAAAAAAAAAAUAUUAAACAACAAACUAGUUUGAUGAGAGAAGAAUGAGUAAAUUCCAUAAGCAGAAUCUUUAUUAGUUGAUGCUGGCAUAAAAUUGCUUUCAAUCAAGGAGAUAUCAUUGCACUAACAGCCCUUCAUAUCACAUCAAUCAUAUUACUGGUCUUACCUCAAAUUAAUCAUACCAGUAUAUUGCCUAUCUAUGUGAUCAAAUUGAUCUAUAACCAUUUUAAAGCUGAGGGAGACAAAAUACAGUCGCAUUAUUAUGUAGUGCUGGUAUAGGAAGGUGGCCUUUUACCUGUUUCUUGGUUCUCAUAUAGGAGAUCUCAUCAAAUUGCAAGGCAUCAAGGCCAAUGCUCGGCAAAUCGCUUCGUUGAAUGUUCUGUACUUGCGCACGUACUUGUGCAAUCCGUUUCCCCAAACUGCGAAGCACAGACGCGCUCUCAGUCGUGUGAAAAGCUCUGGCAAGAAAGCCUCUGUGUCUUUGAUUAGACGCAUGAAGUAUGUAUGUGUCAAUUGCAUUUUCAGCUUCAAAAACAACGUCCCUGAUUUCGUUCUCCAAGUUCUUGAUGGCUCCCUUGUCCUUCUGCCAUUCAGGGUAAUGCUUGAUAGAGGCUUUCAACACAGCAAGAUCAUCGCACAAGCCCUUGAGGUCAUUGCUCAUGGCUCUUCCGAUUAAAUCAGUGUUGUAUGAAAUUGUCUCCAUCAUGUUGCCUAAGAGAAUUGCUAAAGCAGGAAUAUCAGCCAUCGU